GUAGCUUAAAUAAAGCAUAACCCUGAAGAUGUUAGGAUGAACUGUCGCAGGUUCGCGAGCCA
RNAcentral lists this transfer RNA (62 nucleotides) under Sardinella longiceps (Indian oil sardine). Its description in RNAcentral is "tRNA-Phe". The record is from RNAcentral. Lineage: Eukaryota; Metazoa; Chordata; Actinopteri; Clupeiformes; Clupeidae.